AAAGGUCCCGAGUUCAAA
Molecule: non-coding RNA, 18 nt
Filed under: Mus musculus (house mouse)
Lineage: Eukaryota; Metazoa; Chordata; Mammalia; Rodentia; Muridae
Source: RNAcentral